GAUGAACGCUGGCGGCGUGCCUAAUACAUGCAAGUCGAGCGAACAGACGAGGAGCUUGCUCCUCUGACGUUAGCGGCGGACGGGUGAGUAACACGUGGAUAACCUACCUAUAAGACUGGGAUAACUUCGGGAAACCGUAGCUAAUACCGGAUAAUAUAUUGAACCGCAUGGUUCAAUAGUGAAAGACGGUUUUGCUGUCACUUAUAGAUUGAUCCGCGCCGCAUUAGCUAGUUGGUAAGGUAACGGCUUACCAAGGCAACGAUGCGUAGCCGACCUGAGAGGGUGAUCGGCCACACUGGAAGAGAGAAACGGUCCAGACUCCUACGGGAGGCAGCAGUAGGGAAUCUUCCGCAAGGAGCGAAAGCCUGACGGAGAAAAGCCGCGUGAGUGAUGAAGGUCUUAGGAUCGUAAAACUCUGUUAUUAGGGAAGAACAAAUGUGUAAGUAACUAGGAACGUCAUGACGGUACCUAAUCAGAAAGCCACGGCUAACUACGUG
This 497-nucleotide ribosomal RNA is filed under the name uncultured bacterium. RNAcentral's name for it is "partial 16S ribosomal RNA". It matches the Rfam family "Bacterial small subunit ribosomal RNA", at positions 28 to 507 of the family's 1533-position model. The record is from RNAcentral.